GUUGUCCAAAUAAGAAUUUUAGUUCAACUUUAAAUUNACCUAUAUAAUAGAUAAUAAAUUGUAAAUUUAAAAGAUAAUUCUAAGGGGGACAGCUCUUAGAAUAAGGGAUACAACCCUAAUCAGAGAGUACUUACCCAUCAAUAAACAUAGUGGGCCUAAAAGCAGCCAUCAAUUAAGAAAGCGUUAAAGCUCAAAAAAUUUUACUAACUUAAUAUCAAAAUCAAUUUACAACUCCUGAUUUACUAAUUGGACUAAUCUAUUAUUUUAAUAGAAGAAAUACUGCUAAUAUGAGUAACAAGAAAAAUUUUCUCCUAGCAUGAUUCUAUAUCAGAUCGAAUGUCUCACUGAUAGUUAACAAUCUAAUGGAUAAAGUCACUAAUUAAAUAACCAUUUUAUCAAAUUGUUAGCCCGACACAGGUAUGCAUUUAAGGAAAGAUUAAAUAGGUCAGAAGGAACUCGGCAAACACAAGCCCCGCCUGUUUACCAAAAACAUCACCUCUAGCAUAUCAAGUAUUAGAGGCACUGCCUGCCCAGUGACAUAGUUCAACGGCCGCGGUAUCCUG
This 563-nucleotide ribosomal RNA is filed under the name Erinaceus concolor (southern white-breasted hedgehog). RNAcentral's name for it is "partial 16S ribosomal RNA". Lineage: Eukaryota; Metazoa; Chordata; Mammalia; Eulipotyphla; Erinaceidae. The record is from RNAcentral.